AGCAGCACGAUGGACGUUUUUACAUCCUGAACUUCAGUUUUCCAUUUAUUAUCACUGGAGCCGUGCUUUUCAGUGUGGAGUCCCAGAGCAGAGACCUUAAAGGCCUACCAUGUCUGAAGCUCGUACUUCCCAAUUUGGAUGUGCGAGCUUCCAACUUGCACUUGAAGGCUGAGAGAUUAUAGAAAAGAAAGGAGAAGAAGAGAAGAGUGAGCGUGGUCUCACCUCGCUGGUGUUACAGAUGUCUCCCAGUGUGGAUCCACAAGCUUUCCCCGGUGUGGCGUUCCAGGGAAUAAUACCUGCAGGAUCAGACAGAUGAAGCAUCUCACUUCAGCUGAGACAAGCGGCAUUUUCCUCGGCCUGAGAGUUUAUGAUUGAAGGUAAUCCAUCAGACCAGAUGAAAGAAAGCUUGGCAGAAAGCAUUAAUGUCAGCGCAAUUAUCACAUUUGUUAUCGUCCCUUGAAAAGAAAAAAUGAAUCAAACAAAUAAAAAUGAAUCAAAUAAAUGACAUGCAAAAAAAAAAAGCUGUACGUUUUUGUUGCUACAAACUCGGAUGUUUUAGAAGAAAUAUGAACCCUGGCUUUUUUCUUAGGAGCUGUCAAUCAUUUGAAUUCAGUCCUCUGUUGUGCUGUCA
This is a long non-coding RNA of Myripristis murdjan (pinecone soldierfish), 631 nucleotides long. RefSeq lists it as uncharacterized. Lineage: Eukaryota; Metazoa; Chordata; Actinopteri; Holocentriformes; Holocentridae. The transcript has 3 exons. The record is from RefSeq and is a predicted model, not a curated record.